UAUUAAAAAAUCGCUGGCAACUAACAGCGUAAACACAUUAUAUAUAAUUACUAGAUAAUUAUUCUAUUGCAAAGUGUGUCAUCCUGAAUGGGUCACAGACAGUACACCGUCGGGCAGGUAGAUAAUGUUCGCGAUGGAAACUACUCGAUCGACACAGUGUCUUUUUGUAAAGUUUCUUAAAACGGUACAGAAUGGAAUAUUGUUUCACUGGUUGGAAUUACGAUGUCUCUGGAAUGUUUGUUGCGGUAUCUGAGAGUAGUGUGCGAUGGGUAGUGCUGCUUCGCAGGCACCUGUGCUCAUGCGUUGUUUAAUAACAAGUGAUGCGUGUGUAAAUUUCGUGUAGUGGCAGUGGAAAGAGAUAGUAUAGGCCGGCCAGAAGUCAAACCAACAUUAACACAAAAGAAAAAAAGAAAGAGAACUACAAGAGACGCUUGUCUGUUACACAUCGUGCUUGCUGCCGAAAAUAAAAUAAAGUGGAGAAAUUAAAAAGAAAAUAAAAAGGCAUAGAAGGUACCUUGGGAGAUAAGAGAUCCUCUUCCGAACCACUCUGCCCUGUAGUAAGAGACGUCGCAACGAUCGAGGAUGCGAUCUCCGAAUCUGGAUGACAUCGUUGAAUCAUCGCUCACACGGAAGGAAGCUCCGAAUCAUGCUAAAAACAAGCUGGCAACUGGUACGUGGGAUGAUGUAUGUUUUAAAUUCCUAUCUCGAAGAGAAGACUCGAUAAAUUUUCUUCAACGUCUUAACCAAAUAUCGUGUUCAUCGCUUCGACGACUUCCUGCGGUAGACGUGGACGUCGCGCGGAGGAGUUGCAACGCGGAAGCCCCGUCUAGCGUUCUAAGCUCGCUAAUAACCUGGCGGCGGGUCAUUAUUCUAGAGAAGGAGGUAACGGAGGCGGCGGUCGCACGCACAGUUUCCCACUCAAAAUGAAAAACCCGAACGCGACCCGUCGUAGAGGGGGCAACGGUGAUGCAUGCACCGAAUACUUUCAGUGUCGGACGCCGACGAAUCGUGGUGGGGAAACUCGUGUCUGACGCCACUACGCACAUCUCUACCCCAAGCUUAGUCUAGCCUUAAUAGUCAUCCACUGGAAGCCGGAGACGAUGAAGCUGGCCAGAACGAAACGUCUUUCUCUGGAUCUUAUUCUGCUACGGCAAUCUCCGUUUCCACGCUUCGUCAAUUUCUCUUGGCAGGGACAUCAAGUGACAUUUAAGUGAUAUUCAAGUGAUAUUUAAGCGGUGCUUCGAACGAUACGCGUAACGGUGACAUUUUCUGACCAGUUUCGUGAUUAAUCGCUGACCAACGUGGUGUUUGACAGUUGGCUGCCUUCGAUCGGACUGCAUCGCUUUGUUUGCGACAAUGUCGAAUGCUAGUUCGAUGGAAGUGCAGCCGCGAUUGAACUGGACACGUGUGAUCUUUUAUCGAAGUUGAACGUCGCGAAGGUAGUGUGAUAUAUAUAUUUUUUGAAAGAUAAAUUCUCGGUGAGCGUUGGUGCGAAAAUUUGAAUAAAAUUCGUGUGGUUGAUUAUAAUACAAUCUUUGUGGUGCUUGAUCGAAGUGACAGACUCGUCGGUGGAAAUAUAUAGAGUUUUUACGUUUUUCUUCGGUGGUCGUUACAGUGAAUCGUUGAUAUAUUCUUUUUAUGUUCAGUUUGAUUUAUUAUCGAACGUAAUUAAUCAUUUAUUCGGUAUAAAUAUGAGUUUCGUUUCUAUUGUUGGACGAUUACAAAUACAUUUCUUGCCAGUUUUAGUGAUUCAUAUAUUUUUUUCGAGACACGAGACUCACGUACCAUGUUCGUACGAGAUAACGAUCAGUAUGAUUCUUCUUUUCUUUUUUAGCGGUGAUGAUUCACCUGUGGUGAACAAGACAAAGCGUUGUUUAUCGUGGCGAGUCUCGUUUCUCGGAUACAUGUGAGAACGGAUACAGUGAUACACACUAGGAUCUAAUGGAUGACACACAAAAUUUAUUCGAUGAAUCACGGACGAUUGGAGUGGUCAUGUACAAAAAUAAAAAUAAAAUCAACGUUUAGCGAGA
This is a long non-coding RNA of Bombus impatiens (common eastern bumble bee), 2030 nucleotides long. RefSeq lists it as uncharacterized. NCBI's taxonomy places the organism in Eukaryota, Metazoa, Arthropoda, Insecta, Hymenoptera, Apidae. The transcript has 4 exons. The record is from RefSeq and is a predicted model, not a curated record.